UUGGAUGAGAGAGAAACUAUUGCCUUGUAUUAACUACCCAAAUAAACUUUCUAUUAGACUACAAGGUAUGGUGAUGGACCAUCCUUGGAGGAUGAUCCGCCACGUAGGCGACACGUUAUAGUCCUCCCAAGGAUGGAUCAUCCUCCAAAACUAGAGGGCAUGGGAGGAUGUAACAAAAUAUUUUCAUUAAUAUUAAAAAACAUUACAUCAACUUAAAAAAAAUAAACUUAAAAAAAAUAAAUUAAAAAAAAACAUAAACUUAAAAACCUAAAUUUAUCGUGGCCGGCUAUAAAUUUAGAACAAAACAUAAAUGAAAUUAAUUAUAAAAUACAUUUUA
This 337-nucleotide long non-coding RNA is filed under the name Helianthus annuus (common sunflower). RNAcentral's name for it is "sRNA HanXRQr2_Chr13g0566081". Lineage: Eukaryota; Viridiplantae; Streptophyta; Magnoliopsida; Asterales; Asteraceae. The record is from RNAcentral.